This 1359-nucleotide ribosomal RNA is filed under the name Placopyrenium bucekii. RNAcentral describes it as "eukaryotic LSU rRNA". It matches the Rfam family "Eukaryotic large subunit ribosomal RNA", at positions 69 to 1444 of the family's 3401-position model. Lineage: Eukaryota; Fungi; Ascomycota; Eurotiomycetes; Verrucariales; Verrucariaceae. The record is from RNAcentral.
CAGGGAUUGCCUCAGUAACGGCGAGUGAAGCGGCAACAGCUCAAAUUUGAAAUCUGGCCCCUCGCGGGGUCCGAGUUGUAAUUUGUAGAGGAUGCUUCGGGCAAGGCUGCGGUCCAAGUCGCUUGGAACAGCGGGUCAGAGAGGGUGAGAAUCCCGUCCCGGGCCGCGCGCCGCGUCCGUGUGAAGCUCCUUCGACGAGUCGAGUUGUUUGGGAAUGCAGCUCUAAAUGGGUGGUAAAUUUCAUCUAAAGCUAAAUAUGGGCCAGAGACCGAUAGCGCACAAGUAGAGUGAUCGAAAGAUGAAAAGCACUUUGAAAAGAGAGUUAAACAGUAUGUGAAAUUGUUGAAAGGGAAGCGCUUGCGACCAGACUUGCGCGUGGCGGUUCCCCCGGCCUUUGGGCCGGGUUAGUCCGCCACGUCCAGGCCAGCAUGGGUCCGGGUGGGCGGUGAAAGACCCCGGGAAUGUAUCUACCUUCGGGUCGACUUAUAGCCCGGGGUGCAAUGCGCCCUGCCCGGACCGAGGAACGCGCUUCGGCUCGGAUGCUGGCGUAAUGGUCCUAAGCGGCCCGUCUUGAAACACGGACCAAGGAGUCUAACAUCUAUGCGAGUGUUUGGGUGUCAAACCCCUACGCGCAAUGAAAGUGAACGGAGGUAAGAACCCCGCAAGGGGCGCAUUAUCGACCGAUCCUGAUGUCUUCGGAUGGAUUUGAGUAAGAGCAUAGCUGUUGGGACCCGAAAGAUGAUGAACUAUGCCUGAAUAGGGUGAAGCCAGAGGAAACUCUGGUGGAGGCUCGCAGCGGUUCUGACGUGCAAAUCGAUCGUCAAAUUUGGGCAUAGGGGCGAAAGACCAAUCGAAUCAUCUGGUAGCUGGUUUCUGUCGAAGUUUCCCUCAGGAUAGCAGUAACGUUUUCAGUUUUAUGAGGUAAAGCGAAUGAUUAGAGGCCUUGGGGUUGAAACGACCUUAACCUAUUCUCAAACUUUAAAUAUGUAAGAAGUCCUUGUUACUUGAUUGAACGGGGACAUUUGAAUGUAUCGUUACUAGUGGGCCAUUUUUGGUAAGCAGAACUGGCGAUGCGGGAUGAACCGAACGCGGGGUUAAGGUGCCGGAAUGCACGCUCAUCAGACACCACAAAAGGUGUCAAUGCAUCCAGACAGCCGGACGGUGGCCAUGGAAGUCGGAAUCCGCUUAGGAGUGUGUAACAACUCACCGGCCGAAUGCAUUGGCCCUGAAAAUGGAUGGCGCUUAAGCGUGCUACCUAUACCUCGCCGUUGGGGUUGAAAUGAUGCCCCAACGAGUAGGCAGGCGUGGGGGUUUGUGACGAAGCCUCGGGGGUGACCCUGGGUCGAACAACCUCCAGUG